This 391-nucleotide unclassified non-coding RNA is filed under the name soil metagenome. RNAcentral describes it as "partial contains 5.8S ribosomal RNA, internal transcribed spacer 2, and large subunit ribosomal RNA". The stretch from base 1 to 122 matches the Rfam family "5.8S ribosomal RNA", at positions 35 to 154 of the family's 154-position model. The record is from RNAcentral.
GAUGAAGAACGUAGCGAAAUGCGAUACUUGGUGUGAAUUGCAGAAUCCCGUGAACCAUCGAGUCUUUGAACGCAAGUUGCGCCCGAAGCCACUAGGCCGAGGGCACGCCUGCCUGGGCGUCACACGCCGUUGCCCCCCCAUCUACUCCUUCGGGAUUGCGGGGGGGCGGAUGAUGGCCUCCCGUGCGCCUAGCCGCGCGGUUGGCAUAAAUACCAAGUCCUCGGCGACGCACGCCACGACAAUCGGUGGUUGCGAAACCUCGGUUGCCAGUCGUGUGCGUUCGUCGCGCAUCGAGGGCUCGAAAAAAUGCUCGGCUCCGGCUGGGCUUUCAACGCGACCCCAGGUCAGGCGGGGUUACCCGCUGAAUUUAAGCAUAUCAAUAAGCGGAGGA